GCGCCGUUGGUCUAGUGGUUAUGAUAAUUGCCUUCCAUUUCCAAGUGGGUUAGCAAUUGAGACGCGUUCGAUUCGCGUACGGCGCA
Molecule: non-coding RNA, 86 nt
Organism: Sodiomyces alkalinus F11
Lineage: Eukaryota; Fungi; Ascomycota; Sordariomycetes; Glomerellales; Plectosphaerellaceae
Source: the annotation of a RefSeq genome assembly